CCUACGGGUGGCAGCAGUGAGGAAUAUUGGUCAAUGGGAGGGAGCCUGAACCAGCCAAGUCGCGUGAGGGAAGACGGCCCUAUGUGUUGUAAACUUCUUUUGUCGGGGAACAAAGCCGGGGACGCGUCCCCGGCUGCGUGUACCCGAAGAAAAAGCAUCGGCUAACUCCGUGCCAGCAGCCGCGGUAAUACGGAGGAUGCGAGCGUUAUCCGGAUUUAUUGGGUUUAAAGGGUGCGUAGGCGGUCCGUUAAGUCAGCGGUAAAAUUGCGGGGCUAAACCCCGUCGAGCCGUUGAAACUGGCAGACUUGAGUUGGCGAGAAGUAGGCGGAAUGCGCGGUGUAGCGGUGAAAUGCAUAGAUAUCGCGCAGAACGCCGAUUGCGAAGGCAGCGUACCGGCGCCAGACUGACGCUGAGGCACGAAAGCGUGGGGAUCGAACAGGAUGAGAUACCCCUGUAGUC
This 459-nucleotide ribosomal RNA is filed under the name uncultured bacterium. RNAcentral's name for it is "partial 16S ribosomal RNA". It matches the Rfam family "Bacterial small subunit ribosomal RNA", at positions 338 to 795 of the family's 1533-position model. The record is from RNAcentral.